UACGUAGGGUGCGAGCGUUGUCCGGAAUUACUGGGCGUAAAGCGCACGUAGGCGGUUUGUUAAGUCAGGGGUGAAAUCCCGGAGCUCAACUCCGGAACUGCCUUUGAUACUGGCAAGCUAGAGUCCGGAAGAGGUAAGUGGAACUCCUAGUGUAGAGGUGGAAUUCGUAGAUAUUAGGAAGAACACCAGUGGCGAAGGCGGCUUACUGGUCCGGAACUGACGCUGAGGUGCGAAAGCGUGGGGAGCAAACAGG
Molecule: ribosomal RNA, 253 nt
Filed under: uncultured bacterium
Lineage: Bacteria
Description: partial 16S ribosomal RNA
Rfam family: Bacterial small subunit ribosomal RNA
Source: RNAcentral